AAAAACUAGAAUAACCUCUCUAAAAAAUAAUCAUUGCACGAGUUCUCAAAGUUGCCAGCCUAUAAUUAGGUAUGAUUUUUGAUUUCGCUAUCCCCACAAACUCUUCAAGAUGCCCAAUACAGAUCAGACCUUCCAAACUUCCAACUAAUCGGAGAAUUCAAGCAUUCACGAUAAUUAUGAAUUACGGUGAAAAGAAGGAUCUGACCUGACAAACUUCUAGAUAAUCGGAGAAUUCAAGAAAAGGUCAUGGCAAGACAAGUCGUUAAUAAGUGUCAAGUGCAGUGAUGUAAAGAGUUGAUUAGGAGCUAUUAGAUUCAGCUGAACCGCAAUUGAAAUUGUACAUUAGCCCCUUUUAAAGGAUAUCAAUCAUAUUUCCUUUGUUGAGUUGUACUUUUCUCCGCAUAUCUUGUAUGCAGAUUCUUUGAGUUACAUUCUCUUUAUAUACCAUACUAACAUAUUUAACUCAAUUUUAUGCUGAUUUUUUCUUUGCAGUGGACACCACUAGAGUUAAGUGUACCGCCUUGAAUAUGAUAGAC
Long non-coding RNA from Lycium barbarum (goji berry), 536 nucleotides. RefSeq lists it as uncharacterized. The record is from RefSeq and is a predicted model, not a curated record. Lineage: Eukaryota; Viridiplantae; Streptophyta; Magnoliopsida; Solanales; Solanaceae. The transcript has 3 exons.